RNAcentral lists this ribosomal RNA (343 nucleotides) under uncultured eukaryote. RNAcentral describes it as "partial 18S ribosomal RNA". It matches the Rfam family "Eukaryotic small subunit ribosomal RNA", at positions 1470 to 1796 of the family's 1831-position model. The record is from RNAcentral.
CCCUUAGAUGUUCGGGGCCGCACGCGCGCUACACUGAAGGUAGCAGAGGGUGUGAUCGCUCCCGCCCCGAAGCGGGGCGGGUAAACCGUUGAACUACCUUCGUGGCUUGGGACCGGGGCUUGGAACUGUUGCCCGCGAACGAGGAAUUCCCAGUAAGCGCGAGUCAUAAGCUGGCGUUGAUUACGUCCCUGCCCUUUGUACACACCGCCCGUCGCUACUACCGAUUGGACGGUUUAGCGAGGCCCCCGGAUCGGCGCGCCGCGGCUGGACUCGCUUCUGGCUGCGGCGACUGUCCGAGAAGAUGGUCGAACUUGACCGUCUAGAGGAAGUAAAANUCGUAACA